Long non-coding RNA from Triticum dicoccoides, 629 nucleotides. RefSeq lists it as uncharacterized. The record is from RefSeq and is a predicted model, not a curated record. The transcript is spliced from 3 exons. NCBI's taxonomy places the organism in Eukaryota, Viridiplantae, Streptophyta, Magnoliopsida, Poales, Poaceae.
GCUGUGCUGGGUGGUAGAUGGCCGCCCGCCGUCGGCGAGGUGAGCCGUGGAUCAGAAUCGGCGGCGUCAUCUGAUCCAUGGCUCGGGAAGUUCACUUCCCGUGUACUGGUUGUAGGAGCGAGAGUUUUCUCGCCCAGCGCGUGGAUCAUUUGGAAGCCGAGGACUGCAGGAUAGAGGCCAGGAGUGCCGAUGGCCACGGACCAUGGUGUUUCUGAUGCAGACGAUCGGCAGUUUCAGAUCCACUCUGCUUGAGCUAGGGAAGACUUUGUGCCUGCCCCUGUGGUUGUGAAUGGCCCUACGGUGACGGAUUUUGAGGUGGCACAUCAGGCGGAGCGCGAGGCGGCGCAACAUCGGAUGGCGGACAGGGGCAAAGCACAAAUCUUCUCGGCGAAGGAGGCGGCAGCCGACAAAAGGGAGAGCUCGCCGCUGCCGCCAGAGCUGUCAACGAUGAAGGUGAAUCCCCAAGCGCCGGGAUGGAACACGAGGUUGACUGCUCUCUGCAUUUGUAAAAUUGAUGCUAUGUGUAGCUGUUUUGCGGGCUUAGGAUUGGUGCCGCCGCUCCUAGCAGAACACCGUGCCCAAAUCGUAUCAGUGCGUUCGAGAAGGCAGCCAGAUGCUCGCAGAGAACC